Molecule: transfer RNA, 73 nt
Filed under: Caudoviricetes sp.
Lineage: Duplodnaviria; Heunggongvirae; Uroviricota; Caudoviricetes
Description: tRNA-Pro
Rfam family: tRNA
About the family: Transfer RNA (tRNA) molecules are approximately 80 nucleotides in length. Their secondary structure includes four short double-helical elements and three loops (D, anti-codon, and T loops).
Source: RNAcentral
CUGGGUGUAGCACAGUUGGUAGUGCUCUUGAUUUGGGUUCAAGAUGUCGGGGGUUCGAAUCCUCUCACUCAGG